CAAAAUUGGAAGACUCCCUUAAGCCAUUGUGCCCGUUACGUAUACCGUUGCUUCGUGCGUGGCGGCCCCGGGGUUUACCCCCCGGGCGCCCCUGGGCCCCACCGCGGGCGCCCGCCGGAGGUCACCAAACUCUUGAUAAUUUAUGGCCUCUCUGAGUCUUCUGUACUGAAUAAGUCAAAACUUUCAACAACGGAUCUCUUGGUUCUGGCAUCGAUGAAGAACGCAGCGAAAUGCGAUAAGUAAUGUGAAUUGCAGAAUUCAGUGAAUCAUCGAAUCUUUGAACGCACAUUGCGCCCGCCAGCAUUCUGGCGGGCAUGCCUGUUCGAGCGUCAUUUCAACCAUCAAGCCCCCGGGCUUGUGUUGGGGACCUGCGGCUGCCGCAGGCCCUGAAAAGCAUUGGCGGGCUCGCUGUCGCACCGAGCGUAGUACAUACAUCUCGCUCUGGUCGCGCCGCGGGUUCCGGCCGUUAAACCACCUUUUAACCCAAGGUUGACCUCGGAUCAGUAGGAAAGACCCGCUGAACUUAAGCAUAUCAAUAAGCGGAGGAAGAAU
RNAcentral lists this ribosomal RNA (552 nucleotides) under Chaetomium globosum. Its description in RNAcentral is "eukaryotic LSU rRNA". The stretch from base 179 to 332 matches the Rfam family "5.8S ribosomal RNA". The record is from RNAcentral. Lineage: Eukaryota; Fungi; Ascomycota; Sordariomycetes; Sordariales; Chaetomiaceae.